ACGCUGACGGAAUCGGCGGGACGGAAUUUUUAACGCCUCCUAAGCGGUAGGUCCCCGGUUCGAAUCCGGGCUCGCGCACCA
Molecule: transfer RNA, 81 nt
Filed under: Gammaproteobacteria bacterium HGW-Gammaproteobacteria-11
Lineage: Bacteria; Pseudomonadati; Pseudomonadota; Gammaproteobacteria
Description: tRNA-Arg
Source: RNAcentral